Homo sapiens (human) is the source of this 1998-nucleotide long non-coding RNA. Ensembl annotates it as small nucleolar RNA host gene 12. Its record names the gene SNHG12. The record is from Ensembl. Lineage: Eukaryota; Metazoa; Chordata; Mammalia; Primates; Hominidae.
AUGCGCCCCCACGACCUGCUAAAGUAGUACUUACUUUUUAUUUUAUUUUAUUUUUUUGAGACAGAGUCUCGUUCUGUUGCCCAGGCUAGAGUGCAGUGACGCGAUCUCGGCUCUCUGCAAGCUCCGCCUCCCGGGUUCACGCCAUUCUCCUGCCUCAGCCUCCCGGGUAGCUGGGACUACAGGCGCCCGCGACCACGCCCGGCUAAUUUUUUUUUGUAUUUUUUUUUAGUAGAGACCGGGUUUCGCCGUGUUAGCCAGGAUGGUCUCGAUCUCCUGACCUCGUGAUCCACCCGCCUUGGCCUCCCAAAGUGCUGGGAUUACAGGCGUGAGUAACCGCACCCGGCAGUAGUACCUACUUUUUAAAGUGUAAGCAAGGAAAGUUGGCCCGCACCUGUAGUCCCAUCUACCUGGGAGGCUGAGGUGGAAGAAUUGCUUGAGCCCAGUUGGUCGAGGCUGCAAUGAGCCUUGAUCACGCCACUGCACUCCAGCCUGGGCAACAGAACAAGACCCUGUCUCAAACAAAAAAGUGUAUGUAAGAAUAAAAAUUAAUAGAUUAGGCACAGGAUGGGUGUUUAAUUCUCGGCAAUCACCACUAAGUUUUCAUACUGAGGCUUAUUCAUUCCAUGGGCAAAACAUUGCGCUAUGUGUGGUGCCUGGGGUGGGCUCCAAAUUCCAGUCCUCUCCUCGCUUGCGAUAGCUGUGUGAUCCAUUCCUAAGUUUCCUUAUUUGUCCACAGAGCGUACACAGGGUUUUUAUGAAAACUAGAUCAGAUAAUCAGACACAGUUAAAAUAGCACGCGCUCAGUAAAAUUACAUAUUAGUGGAAGAGACAAGCCUUGAAUAAAUCGCCUUUCGGGGAGUAUGACCCCCUCCCCGAAACCCACUCAGGCGCUGCUCGCUCGCACGCCCACUGAGCUCGGAGCGGAGCCCGAGCCCUUUCCCAGCACACAGGGUUCAUUUCCAGACUGAAAGACAUCCCAGAGACAACUCCAGAGGCCAAGGCGGGUCGGCUUCCUGCGUGGGCCCAGCGCCGGGCACUGAAAGGUGAAGGCGCUUCUUCCGCUCGGAGGAAAGCCUCUGGCGGUUCUCGCUUCGCGGGCUCGGGAUGGACACGCGCGUAGGGCUGGGGAGGUGACGCGCGGACAACGCCGGGGCGAGCAAACUACAACUCCCAGGCAGCUGUGCGCCACGCGGGCGGCCUACUGUCGGGUGUGGCCGCGAGGGGCGGCCUAUAUAAGCUCUUGCUCGCGGCUUCAGCGCCCUUUCUCCCCGCCGCAUUCCCGGUGUCGACUUACUAGCUGCAAGCCUCUGCCUGCCUUCCUGCGCGCCGUUCCCCGCUAGUCGCUGCUGCUGGCGCGCACUCGCCGGGUUUUUCCUCCCACGGCCUCGAGAUGGUGGUGAAUGUGGCACGGAGGAGCCGGGCCUUCCAACCCGGUGGGCCCGAGCUCCGAAAGGCCCCCUCGGCAGUGAGAGGGGCGGGAGCCCGCGGGGGCCGCGCCCUUCUCUCGCUUCGGACUGCGCAACGCUGCGCUCUGGGCUGACAGGUGAGUGUUGCAGGCAGGCGGCCGGGUUUACGGAAGGGGUGGGGGUUUGGGAACCGGUCUCCUGGGGGAUGCGGGGAUGAAUCCCUGGGCCUGAAGUGUCUUAAUUCAGGGGGAGGCCGCAUGCUGGUGUCAGGAUGGCCUCCAGUUGAAUCUGUGACAUUUACCAGCUAGGUGAUUUUGGGACUGGUGACUACGCGCGAGACCUCUGGAGGUCGCCCUGGUAGACACGGUUUUCAGAAGGACGGGUUUUAGGCAUUCAGACCCUUGCGUGCAUCCCAGCUUGUUGCUUUCAGCCUCGCUAAGUGACUAAGCGACCUUCAGGAAGUAACUUAAUCGGUCUAAACCUCUUACCUGUAAUAGGCGGAUAAAACGGUCCCAUCAAGACUGAGAAAAAGCACACCAGCUAUUGGCACAGCGUGGGCAGUGGGGCCUACAGGAUGACUGACUUAGUCUAC